CCUACGGGAGGCAGCAGUGGGGAAUAUUGGGCAAUGGGCGCAAGCCUGACCCAGCAACGCCGCGUGAAGGAAGAAGGCUUUCGGGUUGUAAACUUCUUUUAUCAGGGACGAAGCAAGUGACGGUACCGGAUGAAUAAGCCACGGCUAACUACGUGCCAGCAGCCGCGGUAAUACGUAGGUGGCAAGCGUUAUCCGGAUUUACUGGGUGUAAAGGGCGUGGAGGCGGGAGUGCAAGUCAGAUGUGAAAACUAUGGGCUCAACCCAUAGCCUGCAUUUGAAACUGUACUUCUUGAGUGCUGUAGAGGCAAUCGGAAUUCCGUGUGUCGCGGUGAAAUGCGUAGAUAUACGGAGGAACACCAGUGGCGAAGGCGGAUUGCUGGACCGUAACUGACGCUGAGGCGCGAAAGCGUGGGGAGCAAACAGGAUUAGAUACCCGGGUAGUC
Molecule: ribosomal RNA, 443 nt
Filed under: uncultured bacterium
Lineage: Bacteria
Description: partial 16S ribosomal RNA
Rfam family: Bacterial small subunit ribosomal RNA
Source: RNAcentral